AAUGAACGCUGGCGGCAUGCCUUACACAUGCAAGUCGAACGGCAGCAUGACCUAGCUUGCUAGGUUGAUGGCGAGUGGCGCACGGGUGAGUAAUGCAUCGGAACGUGCCCUUUAGUGGGGGAUAACGUAGCGAAAGUUACGCUAAUACCGCAUAUUCUCUGAGGGGGAAAGCAGGGGACCUUCGGGCCUUGCGCUAGAAGAGCGGCCGAUGUCGGAUUAGCUAGUUGGUGAGGUAAAGGCUCACCAAGGCAACGAUCCGUAGCGGGUCUGAGAGGAUGAUCCGCCACACUGGGACUGAGACACGGCCCAGACUCCUACGGGAGGCAGCAGUGGGGAAUUUUGGACAAUGGGCGCAAGCCUGAUCCAGCCAUGCCGCGUGAGUGAAGAAGGCCUUCGGGUUGUAAAGCUCUUUCGUCUGGGAAGAAAUCGAACCCUCUAAUACAGGGUGUGUAUGACGGUACCAGCAUAAGAAGCACCGGCUAACUACGUG
RNAcentral lists this ribosomal RNA (490 nucleotides) under uncultured bacterium. RNAcentral describes it as "partial 16S ribosomal RNA". It matches the Rfam family "Bacterial small subunit ribosomal RNA", at positions 29 to 507 of the family's 1533-position model. The record is from RNAcentral.